Molecule: non-coding RNA, 269 nt
Organism: Cinara cedri
Lineage: Eukaryota; Metazoa; Arthropoda; Insecta; Hemiptera; Aphididae
Source: the annotation of a GenBank genome assembly
GGAAGUAAAAAUUCUCUGCGUCAACCCCUUUACUUUCCCAGACUCUUUUGUAUAGAAAUAUUCCGUCAUGUUCGAGACCUGCAUGAAGAACUCACUCGAAGACACUCGAUGAGAGGUAUUUCCCGUACUCGUUUGACACACAUACUAUGUGUAUAGACUAUUAUAGACGUUUACAAAAACCCGCAAUAGUCCUGUAGAAUUUAUACUAAACGUAAAGGUCGCAUUAUGUACGAUUGAACGCGUUUUAUUAAAUUCGGUGACACCAAACA